CAGGAGGGGCAAGCGUUGUUCGGAAUUACUGGGCGUAAAGGGCGCGUAGGUGGCCCGCUAAGUCGAACGUGAAAUCCCCGAGCUCAACUCGGGAACUGCGUCCGAUACUGGCGGGCUUGAAUCCGGGAGAGGGAUGCGGAAUUCCAGGUGUAGCGGUGAAAUGCGUAGAUAUCUGGAGGAACACCGGUGGCGUAGGCGGCAUCCUGGACCGGCAUUGACGCUGAGGCGCGAAAGCUAGGGGAGCAAACGGGAUUAGAUACCCCGGUAGUCCUAGCCCUAAACGAUGAAUGCUUGGUGUGGCGGGUAUCGAUCCCUGCCGUGCCGAAGCUAACGCAUUAAGCAUUCCGCCUGGGGAGUACGGUCGCAAGGCUG
Molecule: ribosomal RNA, 372 nt
Filed under: uncultured organism
Description: bacterial SSU rRNA
Rfam family: Bacterial small subunit ribosomal RNA
Source: RNAcentral